UACGUAGGGCGCAAGCGUUGUCCGGAAUUAUUGGGCGUAAAGAGCUCGUAGGCGGUCUGUCGCGUCUGCCGUGAAAACCCGAGGCUUAACCUCGGGCUGGCGGUGGAUACGGGCAUCACUGGAGUUCGGCAGGGGAGACUGGAAUUCCUGGUGUAGCGGUGAAAUGCGCAGAUAUCAGGAGGAACACCGGUGGCGAAGGCGGGUCUCUGGGCCGAUACUGACGCUGAGGAGCGAAAGCGUGGGGAGCAAACAGG
This 254-nucleotide ribosomal RNA is filed under the name uncultured bacterium. RNAcentral describes it as "partial 16S ribosomal RNA". It matches the Rfam family "Bacterial small subunit ribosomal RNA", at positions 524 to 776 of the family's 1533-position model. The record is from RNAcentral.